RNAcentral lists this ribosomal RNA (398 nucleotides) under uncultured bacterium. Its description in RNAcentral is "partial 16S ribosomal RNA". It matches the Rfam family "Bacterial small subunit ribosomal RNA", at positions 523 to 918 of the family's 1533-position model. The record is from RNAcentral.
AUACGUAGGGUGCGAGCGUUGUCCGGAAUUACUGGGCGUAAAGAGCUCGUAGGUGGUUUGUCGCGUCGUCUGUGAAAUUCCGGGGCUUAACUCCGGGCGUGCAGGCGAUACGGGCAUAACUUGAGUACUGUAGGGGAGACUGGAAUUCCUGGUGUAGCGGUGAAAUGCGCAGAUAUCAGGAGGAACACCGGUGGCGAAGGCGGGUCUCUGGGCAGUAACUGACGCUUAGGAGCGAAAGCAUGGGUAGCGAACAGGAUUAGGUACCCUGGUAGUCCAUGCCGUAAACGGUGGGCGCUAGGUGUAGGGGUCUUCCACGACUUCUGUGCCGUAGCUAACGCAUUAAGCGCCCCGCCUGGGGAGUACGGCCGCAAGGCUAAAACUCAAAUGAAUUGACGGGG